Nicotiana tabacum (common tobacco) is the source of this 439-nucleotide non-coding RNA. The record is from RefSeq and is a predicted model, not a curated record. NCBI's taxonomy places the organism in Eukaryota, Viridiplantae, Streptophyta, Magnoliopsida, Solanales, Solanaceae.
GCUGAACUGCUUCUUCUCUAGUGCAUUGCUUCCCUUCAUAUGCGCUCUAUCUCAAUUUUCUAUCCAUAUUAGUUACAUUUUGCUAGGAAUACGAUUUAUUGGUAUUGCAUUGUGUCUUGGGAAUUUCUGAAGUGAAGUAUCCAUUUGGGCGAAUCAACUUCAGAAUGUCACUGCUCAUCUAAAGAUGUGUACGUUUCUAAGAGUACUGGACAUGGUGUAAUUUCAAACCCGCUAUCAGGUAUGUUUAGAGAUGACAUUCAUUUGGUUUAAAGAUUGAUAUAGCUGUUAUGAUGGCAUUGAGUGCAAUAUGAUAUGUAGAGUGAGCCUGCUUCAUUUUUUGGAUGUGAGAAUAUGAUCAGGUGAUAACAAUACAAAUCACCAAGCAAAUACUUAGCAUAUCUGCAUAUUUACUUAUUAUGGACAGCUGUAGAAUGUAUAA